UAGAGGGUAGCUCAGUUGGUAGAGCAAGAGACUCUUAAUCACAAGGUCAUGGGUUUGAGCCCCAUGUUGGAAA
Molecule: non-coding RNA, 73 nt
Organism: Podarcis lilfordi (Lilford's wall lizard)
Lineage: Eukaryota; Metazoa; Chordata; Lepidosauria; Squamata; Lacertidae
Source: the annotation of a GenBank genome assembly